RNAcentral lists this transfer RNA (72 nucleotides) under Urocitellus parryii (Arctic ground squirrel). Its description in RNAcentral is "Spermophilus parryii (Arctic ground squirrel) tRNA". It matches the Rfam family "tRNA". Rfam says of the family: Transfer RNA (tRNA) molecules are approximately 80 nucleotides in length. Their secondary structure includes four short double-helical elements and three loops (D, anti-codon, and T loops). Further hydrogen bonds mediate the characteristic L-shaped molecular structure. tRNAs have two regions of fundamental functional importance: the anti-codon, which is responsible for specific mRNA codon recognition, and the 3' end, to which the tRNAs corresponding amino acid is attached (by aminoacyl-tRNA synthetases). tRNAs cope with the degeneracy of the genetic code in two manners: having more than one tRNA (with a specific anti-codon) for a particular amino acid; and 'wobble' base-pairing, i.e. permitting non-standard base-pairing at the 3rd anti-codon position. Lineage: Eukaryota; Metazoa; Chordata; Mammalia; Rodentia; Sciuridae. The record is from Rfam by way of RNAcentral. RNAcentral also lists the same sequence under 2 other names.
UGGGUUGUGGCUCAGCAGUAGAGUGCUUGCCUAGCAUGUGUGAGGCCCUGAGUUCAAUCCUCAGCACCACAU